RNAcentral lists this small nuclear RNA (84 nucleotides) under Chelonoidis abingdonii (Abingdon island giant tortoise). RNAcentral's name for it is "U4 spliceosomal RNA (ENSCABG00000014017.1)". The stretch from base 1 to 75 matches the Rfam family "U4 spliceosomal RNA". From Rfam's summary of the family: U4 small nuclear RNA (U4 snRNA) is a component of the major U2-dependent spliceosome. The structure of U4 snRNA from yeast and human has been reported. Lineage: Eukaryota; Metazoa; Chordata; Testudines; Testudinidae. The record is from RNAcentral.
GUAUAAGUGCAGUGGCAGUAUCGUAGCUAAUGAGGUUAAUCCGAGGUGCGAUUAUUGCUAGGUGAAAACAUUUGAGCAUGUUAA